This 458-nucleotide long non-coding RNA is filed under the name Homo sapiens (human). RNAcentral describes it as "HSALNT0270217". Lineage: Eukaryota; Metazoa; Chordata; Mammalia; Primates; Hominidae. The record is from RNAcentral.
CGCGUGUCACCCUGCUGGGCCCGGCUGCCUGUUUACCACCCCCUACCAGCUGUGAGCUCCCUGGGGGUCCUGUCCUUGGCCCCUGCACCCUUGGGACCAGACUCAGCAUCAGCCCCAGACCACGUGCACACACAGCUGUUUCUGACAUGAUGCAUCCUGAUCCUGCAAAGGCCCGAGCCAUCUGCAGAGGUUGGGGUGGGAGGUCCAGCCCCACUCCUGCACAGGUGCUCGCACCCCUGGGAGCUGGAGGUGCAGGGGUGAAGCCACAAGUUGGCCCACUGCUGGGAGACAUCCCCCGCCCCGCCACAGAACAAAGCAUCCCAGAUCGACAUCAGGGCCUCUUGGGAAGAAGAGGGAGAGAGGGCAGGGCCCUCCUCAGGGCAGAGAGCAACCAGCUGGUGGGGGCAGGGGGCAGGAGGGCCAAGGGAUCCCACUGAGGGGUCUCAGGUAGGACAGCU